This 92-nucleotide small RNA is filed under the name Vibrio xiamenensis. Its description in RNAcentral is "Vibrio sp. G21 Qrr RNA". It matches the Rfam family "Qrr RNA". From Rfam's summary of the family: This family represents a set of small RNAs (the Qrr RNAs) that are thought to be involved in the regulation of quorum sensing in Vibrio species. It is believed that these RNAs, guided by a protein, Hfq, can mediate the destabilisation of the quorum-sensing master regulators LuxR/HapR mRNAs. Lineage: Bacteria; Pseudomonadati; Pseudomonadota; Gammaproteobacteria; Vibrionales; Vibrionaceae. The record is from Rfam by way of RNAcentral.
AGACCCUAACGGGUCCCUAGCCAACUGACGUUGUUAGUGAACAUAGUAUUCACAAAAGAAGCCAAUAACUGUUUGUUAUUGGCUAUUUUUUU